RNAcentral lists this ribosomal RNA (808 nucleotides) under Hypogymnia imshaugii. RNAcentral describes it as "mitochondrial SSU rRNA". It matches the Rfam family "Bacterial small subunit ribosomal RNA", at positions 368 to 1149 of the family's 1533-position model. The record is from RNAcentral. Lineage: Eukaryota; Fungi; Ascomycota; Lecanoromycetes; Lecanorales; Parmeliaceae.
AUGUAUAGCAAUAGCUACUUGCAUCAUUGUAAAAAUGAUGCAGGAUCGACUAUGUCGAAUAAAAUUCUAGGUAGAAUUAUGAUAAUGACAUUGUCUGCCUAUGUGUCUUGACCAAAUUACGUGCCAGCAGUCGCGGUAAUACGUAGAAGACUAGUGUUAUUCAUGUUUAAUCGGUUUAAAGGGUACCUAGACGGUAAAUCAAGCCUAAAAUUAAAUGAAGGGACUAAUUUACUAGAGUUACUUAUGAGGGGGUAUUAAAGUACUGCUGGUGUAGAGAUGAAAUUCUGUCAUACCUCUUUUCAAUAGAAAAACAAUGGCACAGGUAUAGGCGAAAGCAUCCCCUUAUGUGAUAACUGACGUUGAGGGACGAAGGCUUUGUGUAGCGAACAGGAUUAGAUACCCCAGUAGUCAAAGCAGAAAAUGAUGAAUGUCAUAGAUUAGAUAAAUAAGUUUAUUCUAUAAAUGAAAGUGUAAGCAUUCCACCUCAAGAGUAAUUUGGCAACAUUGGAACUGAAAUCAUUAGACCGUUUCUGAAACCAGUAGUGAAGUAUGUUGUUUAAUUUGAUGAUCCGCAAAAAACCUUACCACAAUUUGAAUAUUUAUAUUUUUUUAUUGUUUUCUUUUUAAUUUUCUUCUGAUUUGAUUUUUCUAAAGAAAAAAAGAAAAAGAGGCGAUAUGAUAUAUUUACAAGCGUUGCACGGCUGUCUUCAGUUAAUGUCGCGAGACUUUGGUUAGUUCCAUUAAAUUAACGUAAACCCUUACUUUAUUUUUAUAUAGAGUAGUUCCCCGCUAUAUUGGAUAUGAUAAC